AUCUGCCUCUGCCUUCCACGGGACUAUCGCCUUGGAAAUUAAUUCUUUGAAAGGCAAGAUUUGUACAGAGCAGCUCGUUCUUCUCUCUGGGUGACAGUGCACGGGGCGUGCAGGCUGCUCACCCUGGCCCAGGGGAUGUGCUGUCAGUUACCCGGCUCCGCAGAGGUGGAAUAUGAAGGUGUGUCCAGAGGAAGAAAGUCGUGUUCUCCAGUGAGGACGAAGCUCUGAGACCAGGAAGGUCUCUGCACCUGUGUGGAGUGGAGGAGAAAACCUGGAACCAGUCCCUCCUGUGGAGCUCCUGAUCCCACAGGCCUCUCUGAGCUGAGCACCAGAGAAGGGACGGGAAAGGAGCGGGGGCAGAAGGUCUCCGGACAGCCGGCUCAUUAAUACAGCUAAUGCUAAUUAGCUGGUCUAGAGCAACAUGCAGGAGUGUAUGCUCGGACCCUGGCUCAGGAAACAUCACCCUUGGUGACUGCAUGGCUAGUGACGUGGAGCACCUUGGAAUUUGUAUGUGAGAGGCAGACAGAGAAGAUGAACAGGUGAGGUUCUGUCUGCUGGAGAGGGAGGGCCUCCGACGGCCGUCUCUCGCCCCUUUUCUUACCCACCAGCCAAGCAGGGUCUUCUCCAUGCAAGCCCAGAGACAGCACUGGGAACAGGCAGACUGGCCCCAGGAACGACCGUGACUUGGGGCCUCAGGGGGACAGUGUCUUUGGCUCUGGGCAGUUCAGUAACACGGAGAAGGAGGGACUGCAGAGGGAGCGCUCGUGCUUUUGUGAAGCGACUGUUAAGGAAAACUGACAGUGCUGGGGGCUGCCUCCUGUCCCACACUGUCCCAGCUUGUUGGCAAGAGGGACUCAUUCCAGGGACACUAACAAACACCACACUGAGGACAAACAAGCAGGGUGCACCCAGGGAGGGUGCUCAGGAGGUGUCGGAGGCUGUGAGCAGGCGAGGCCGACCCUGGGAGCAGGGCUGGCACCCCGGACGUGACCGAGAAGCGGCAUCUCCAUCCCCUUGAGUGACAAACUGAAGGUGGACGGCAAUUUAACUGUGCAGGUGGCCUCUGAGGCACGUUCUCAGGAGCUCCCGCGGCCUCAGCUGUGGGACAGGUAGAGUAGGAUCUGAUCUGGCAGCCAUUGGUGGCCACGGCACAGAAGGGUCAGCAAUGUCCCAUGAAGUGGAGCAGGUGAGACGCGUCAGGCAGCACCUGGACGCUGAGCAAUCAGCGGGGUGUGUCCUGGGGCUGGUGGCCUUCACGAGAGGAAGCUGGGCGAGGACACCCAGUGGAGCCCGUGCACCCAGGACCCCCAGGGAGGGCGGAGUGAUAGGCUGCACCUGGAGCAUGGGGUCGGCUGGGAAGAGGGACAGGAUGACAGCUGAAGCUACUUGAAGCUGUACUUGCAAGGACAGACUAGUAACCCUCUGUCCUAGUGGACAUCAUCGAAGACUCCCAGGCAUUGGCAUCAGAGCGAUAAUUUAGGCUCUGCCACAAUUUCCCUGCCCCAAAACAUAAUUACUGAAUA
Molecule: long non-coding RNA, 1523 nt
Organism: Marmota monax (woodchuck)
Lineage: Eukaryota; Metazoa; Chordata; Mammalia; Rodentia; Sciuridae
Exons: 3
Source: RefSeq, a predicted model, not a curated record